This 406-nucleotide ribosomal RNA is filed under the name uncultured bacterium. Its description in RNAcentral is "partial 16S ribosomal RNA". It matches the Rfam family "Bacterial small subunit ribosomal RNA", at positions 29 to 526 of the family's 1533-position model. The record is from RNAcentral.
AUUGAACGCUGGCGGCAGGCCUAAAACAUGCAAGUCGAACGAGUGGCGGACGGGUGAGUAAUGUCUGGGAACCUGCCUGAUGGAGGGGGAUAACUACUGGAAACGGUAGCUAAUACCGCAUACCAUCAGAUGUGCCCAGCUGGGAUUAGCUAGUCGGUGGGGUAAAGGCAUACCAAGGCGAAGAUCCGUAACUGGUCUGAGAGGAUGAUCAGGCACACGGGAACUGAGACACGGUCCAGACUCCUACGGGAGGCAGCAGUGGGGAAUAUUGCACAAUGGGCGCAAGCCUGAUGCAGCCAUGCCGCGUGUAUGAAGAAGGCCUUCGGGUGGUAAAGUACUUUCGGCGGGGAGGCGUUACCCGCAGAAGAAGCAGCGGGUAACUCCGUGCCAGCAGCCGCGGUAAUAC